GGCCGCGGGAAUUCGAUUCAGGCCUAACACAUGCAAGUCGAGCGGUAGAGAGAAGCUUGCUUCUCUUGAGAGCGGCGGACGGGUGAGUAAUGCCUAGGAAUCUGCCUGGUAGUGGGGGAUAACGUUCGGAAACGGACGCUAAUACCGCAUACGUCCUACGGGAGAAAGCAGGGGACCUUCGGGCCUUGCGCUAUCAGAUGAGCCUAGGUCGGAUUAGCUAGUUGGUGAGGUAAUGGCUCACCAAGGCUACGAUCCGUAACUGGUCUGAGAGGAUGAUCAGUCACACUGGAACUGAGACACGGUCCAGACUCCUACGGGAGGCAGCAGUGGGGAAUAUUGGACAAUGGGCGAAAGCCUGAUCCAGCCAUGCCGCGUGUGUGAAGAAGGUCUUCGGAUGUAAAUCAAUUGAAGUUGGGAGGAAGGGCAUUACCUAAUACGUUA
This 441-nucleotide ribosomal RNA is filed under the name uncultured bacterium. RNAcentral describes it as "bacterial SSU rRNA". It matches the Rfam family "Bacterial small subunit ribosomal RNA", at positions 39 to 477 of the family's 1533-position model. The record is from RNAcentral.